Molecule: long non-coding RNA, 2598 nt
Organism: Chroicocephalus ridibundus (black-headed gull)
Lineage: Eukaryota; Metazoa; Chordata; Aves; Charadriiformes; Laridae
Exons: 4
Source: RefSeq, a predicted model, not a curated record
AAUGCUCUUUUUGCAGAUAAUGCUGUGAAGGCUUUUAAAAGGGUAGAUAAAUAGCAAGAGACCAGAGUAUGCAUGAGAGUGGACAAAAGCCUAGUAAUCUGGUAUUUUUCACUUGGACUUUGUCUUCAUUUGCUUGCUAACCCCAAACAGACCUUCCUUUUUCUGCCUAUCAGCAAUGUGUAAAUAAAUCUCUCAGUGCAUUCUAUAAAUAGACACAAUUCCUUCAUUAUAAAUGACCUUUCUACUCUCAGCUUGGUUACACAGAACAUGAACUGUGUCCAGGUGGAAGUCAUAGGAUGUAGCAUCUUGUGAGAGUCCACCUAAGCAUGCAGGCAGCAUGAACUAAGCCACGCUUUUGAGCUUUCUGCUCACUUCAGAAGCUACCAGGCAACAAUUUGUGGAGCAGAAGGUUGCAACUUUCCCUCACCCAGUCCCAAGAUUCUGCAGGACUGACUGCUGGCCAUGCAGCCACUGGAGAGGAAAGAAACCCAGUGAUGCUCAUGGGAUUUCAAAGCGGAGCAUUGGCUGGUCUCUGUGGUCUGGACCUGGAGGACUGCACCCUUUGUCAGAAUUCCCUUCGAUACUUGGUUACAGAGUUCAACAAGACCAUUUAACUGGCCAUGAAGCAGGCAAGCUGGUGUUUUGUCUUAAUGAUGAACAUGGACUGGACUGAAACAUUAUGUCCUGGGUCCAAGGAGAGCGUGAGUAUGCUACAGGUCACUUACUCCUUCUGCAAGUAACUGUGUAAUCAAAUCCUGAGAGAAUGGGAGGGAAGGAACCCAGAAGAAGAGGUUAAAAAGCAAUCCUCCACUCUGAGAAGUAAAGCAGUAGAAUAGGGUGCACAGCUGGCAAAACUGUGGAGAGAGAAACAGAGAAAGAUAAAAAAAAUGAAUCUUCAGAUUUUAAGACUACAAUUGAGGAAUGAAAGUAGUUUCAAAUUGGCUGAACAAAAGGGAGGGAAAAGUUAAAAUAAUGAAAUAGUAAAUCCCCAUGGGCAAACUAGAAGAUCACAGUCAAGAUCAAUGAAAACAAAUGAUAAGCAGAAAAAGCAAACCACACAAAACAUUCCUAUUUGUAAGCCAGAACAAAUGAUCAGGACAACAACUUGAGAUGCUUUUCAAAUUUUUGAAGGAAGGAAAAUGGCUACAGAAAUAGUGAGAGGAACAAUUUUAGAAACUGAUAGUGGAGAUGAAAGGCUUCUCUUCAACAGUUUCUGUGUAGUAAUCUAAAAGUUUUGCUGUUCUAUGUUUACCUUCAAAUGAGAGCAAACAUCAUUUAUUUUGAUUUAUAUGUAUUUGCAUUGUAUACGUGGUAUAUGACGGCUUUAUUUUAAAUAAUAAUUUGUCUCUGUGGAAUCGUAAUUUUUGUUCAUUAGUAGCCAGGUAGAUUGCAAUGCAGUAUCUUGACAGAGAAGUGGCAACUCCAUGCACCACUGCUCUAGCGGAGGUGGAAUGAAGCCUAAGGAGUACCAACCUUGUACUGACAACAGAGCCUUGUCUUGACGACAGAGCACAGGUAUUCUCCUUUACCUAACAAGAGUUUGUAUUUCUGGAGCAGGGCAAUCUGGUUCGCAACCUUACUGUCCCCAGUAUAUUUUUUGUAUACACGGUAGUAACAAACAUAGGACUGUGACAUCCAGGUCACUCACCUGUCCUCAUCCAUGGAGCAGGAAAAUCUCUUUAUGCUGGAAAGCAGCAAAAACAUCCAGCAAAGACAUUCAGCUUCAAACUCAGCUGCCUGGAUUUCCGAGUCUUUGACGAUGUGUAUGCCUAAGUUCCCAUUAUAGUCACUGGAGCCUACUCAGCUCACCAUGUACAUUUAUUUUAGGAAGAGCUGAACAGCUCUCUAGACUGAGUCUAGACUCAAAGCUUAGCUGCUGAAGAUCUCAAUUAACUAUAAUGGGAGUUCAGACACCUUGCUGGUGCAUGGACAUCUGAGUGUAGGAGCCUGAAUCUGCAAGCUGAUGUCCCGCUCUUGGGGUGGUGUAGCCUGGGCAGAGCACGGGGGAGUCCCUUGGGAGUGGGGUGGGUGGACACACGAUGUUCUUGGCAGCUCGGGCUCCAGCUGCCACCCAAGCCCUGCUACCAUCAUCCUGCACCAGGAGGCUGCACGGCCCCCACCAACAGUCAGCAGGCUGGUGAGGUUUGUUCUUGCGCUGGGGUCAAGUGUCUUGCGUAAUGAAGAACUCAGCAGGUACCAUUUUACUUAGGAUUGGCGGCGUUUUUUCUACUGAGGGUAGACAUACUGAUUGAAGCCUCUGUGUUUUAUAGCCCCUGCAUGCAAAAACAUCUCGCUGUCAUUCAUCAGGCCUUCAUAAUUUCUGCUAAAAGAAUAAACUGGGCCAUUGGAAAAAUUAGAAAUAAAAGGUUAGGUCAUUUUAAGGACUAAUUAUAAAACCCAUGACCGUAUUAUUUAACAUCCAGUUCACUUUAAGUCUUUUAGCAACGCUCCCUCCUGUACUUCCUGAACAUGUUCCUACAAACAAGUUUUCUGGAGGAGUAAGGGCUGACUCAGGGAGUUUGAAGCUCAGCUGAGAGGGGAGAGUUACUUUUUGUGUUUAUGAUUGUGUUUGCUGCUGUGCCUAAUAGGACCCCUGAC